GUGCAAUGAUGCAUUCUAUUCAUCAACACAUCAUUCUGAAAAGACAGGUGUGUAGAAAGUUAAUGACUGAGCACG
This is a small nucleolar RNA of Myotis lucifugus (little brown bat), 75 nucleotides long. Its record names the gene SNORD63. It matches the Rfam family "Small nucleolar RNA SNORD63". From Rfam's summary of the family: snoRNA U63 is found in both humans and mice. U63 is a member of the C/D class of snoRNA which contain C (UGAUGA) and D (CUGA) box motifs. NCBI's taxonomy places the organism in Eukaryota, Metazoa, Chordata, Mammalia, Chiroptera, Vespertilionidae. The record is from Ensembl.